Molecule: transfer RNA, 66 nt
Filed under: Pogona vitticeps (central bearded dragon)
Lineage: Eukaryota; Metazoa; Chordata; Lepidosauria; Squamata; Agamidae
Also listed under: 2 other names
Description: tRNA-Tyr
Rfam family: tRNA
About the family: Transfer RNA (tRNA) molecules are approximately 80 nucleotides in length.
Source: RNAcentral
GUAAAGGUGGCUGAAGAUAGGUGGUGGGUUGUAAUUCCAUUUAUGGGGUAAAAUCCCCUCUUUACA